GCGCUCGUAGGCCAAUGGAUAGACCGCCGGUCUUCGGAACCGGAUGUUGAGGGUUCGAAUCCCUCCGAGCGCA
This 73-nucleotide transfer RNA is filed under the name Patescibacteria group bacterium. RNAcentral describes it as "tRNA-Arg". It matches the Rfam family "tRNA". From Rfam's summary of the family: Transfer RNA (tRNA) molecules are approximately 80 nucleotides in length. Their secondary structure includes four short double-helical elements and three loops (D, anti-codon, and T loops). Further hydrogen bonds mediate the characteristic L-shaped molecular structure. tRNAs have two regions of fundamental functional importance: the anti-codon, which is responsible for specific mRNA codon recognition, and the 3' end, to which the tRNAs corresponding amino acid is attached (by aminoacyl-tRNA synthetases). tRNAs cope with the degeneracy of the genetic code in two manners: having more than one tRNA (with a specific anti-codon) for a particular amino acid; and 'wobble' base-pairing, i.e. permitting non-standard base-pairing at the 3rd anti-codon position. The record is from RNAcentral.